GAUGAACGCUGGCGGCGUGCCUAAUACAUGCAAGUCGAGCGAACAGACGAGGAGCUUGCUCCUCUGACGUUAGCGGCGGACGGGUGAGUAACACGUGGAUAACCUACCUAUAAGACUGGGGUAACUUCGGGAAACCGGAGCUAAUACCGGAUAACAUGUUGAACCGCAUGGUUCAACAGUGAAAGACGGUUUUGCUGUCACUUAUAGAUGGAUCCGCGCCGCAUUAGCUAGUUGGUAAGGUAACGGCUUACCAAGGCAACGAUGCGUAGCCGACCUGAGAGGGUGAUCGGCCACACUGGAACUGAGACACGGUCCAGACUCCUACGGGAGGCAGCAGUAGGGAAUCUUCCGCAAUGGGCGAAAGCCUGACGGAGCAACGCCGCGUGAGUGAAGAAGGUCUUCGGAUCGUAAAACUCUGUUAUUAGGGAAGAACAAAUGUGUAAGUAACUAUGCACGUCUUGACGGUACCUAAUCAGAAAGCCACGGCUAACUACGU
Molecule: ribosomal RNA, 496 nt
Filed under: uncultured bacterium
Lineage: Bacteria
Description: partial 16S ribosomal RNA
Rfam family: Bacterial small subunit ribosomal RNA
Source: RNAcentral